AUGGCGGCAUAUAUGCGCUCCCAGCUGGUGCUACUCAGGUCGCCAGGGCAGCGACAUCUGUUGAGCUAUCGCUCAUCGUCAUCCUCCUCUGAGCCAAGAACUGCUACGCCUCCACACGCUCCUGCAGUUUCAGAUGCUGCUGGAGGACGUACCAGUACCAAAAGCUCGAUUAAGCACUGGAUUUAUGGACGUCCCGGCUUAGCAUCUAUGCUCUCCUUGCUGGGGCUAUUCACCACCUCAUCCCCCGAUGCGCCAACAUCAACUGGCGGUGCUGUUAGCAUCACCGAUACUGCCGGUAACCAGGGGACUUAUGAACCCCCUCAGAAAAAACGCACAACUUAG
Molecule: ribosomal RNA, 342 nt
Filed under: Triticum aestivum (bread wheat)
Lineage: Eukaryota; Viridiplantae; Streptophyta; Magnoliopsida; Poales; Poaceae
Description: partial small subunit ribosomal RNA
Source: RNAcentral